Molecule: ribosomal RNA, 765 nt
Filed under: uncultured Streptococcus sp.
Lineage: Bacteria; Bacillati; Bacillota; Bacilli; Lactobacillales; Streptococcaceae
Description: bacterial SSU rRNA
Rfam family: Bacterial small subunit ribosomal RNA
Source: RNAcentral
GACGAACGCUGGCGGCGUGCCUAAUACAUGCAAGUAGAACGCUGAAGAGAGGAGCUUGCUCUUCUUGGAUGAGUUGCGAACGGGUGAGUAACGCGUAGGUAACCUGCCUUGUAGCGGGGGAUAACUAUUGGAAACGAUAGCUAAUACCGCAUAACAAUGGAUGACACAUGUCAUUUAUUUGAAAGGGGCAAUUGCUCCACUACAAGAUGGACCUGCGUUGUAUUAGCUAGUAGGUGAGGUAACGGCUCACCUAGGCGACGAUACAUAGCCGACCUGAGAGGGUGAUCGGCCACACUGGGACUGAGACACGGCCCAGACUCCUACGGGAGGCAGCAGUAGGGAAUCUUCGGCAAUGGGGGCAACCCUGACCGAGCAACGCCGCGUGAGUGAAGAAGGUUUUCGGAUCGUAAAGCUCUGUUGUAAGUCAAGAACGAGUGUGAGAGUGGAAAGUUCACACUGUGACGGUAGUUUACCAGAAAGGGACGGCUAACUACGUGCCAGCAGCCGCGGUAAUACGUAGGUCCCGAGCGUUGUCCGGAUUUAUUGGGCGUAAAGCGAGCGCAGGCGGUUUGAUAAGUCUGAAGUUAAAGGCUGUGGCUCAACCAUAGUUCGCUUUGGAAACUGUCAAACUUGAGUGCAGAAGGGGAGAGUGGAAUUCCAUGUGUAGCGGUGAAAUGCGUAGAUAUAUGGAGGAACACCGGUGGCGAAAGCGGCUCUCUGGUCUGUAACUGACGCUGAGGCUCGAAAGCGUGGGGAGCGAACAGG